RNAcentral lists this ribosomal RNA (450 nucleotides) under uncultured bacterium. RNAcentral describes it as "partial 16S ribosomal RNA". It matches the Rfam family "Bacterial small subunit ribosomal RNA", at positions 354 to 796 of the family's 1533-position model. The record is from RNAcentral.
GUGGGGAAUUUUGGACAAUGGGCGCAAGCCUGAUCCAGCAAUGCCGCGUGCAGGAAGAAGGCCUUCGGGUUGUAAACUGCUUUUGUCAGGGAAGAAAUCUUCUGGGCUAAUACCCCGGGAGGAUGACGGUACCUGAAGAAUAAGCACCGGCUAACUACGUGCCAGCAGCCGCGGUAAUACGUAGGGUGCGAGCGUUAAUCGGAAUUACUGGGCGUAAAGCGUGCGCAGGCGGCUUUGCAAGACAGAUGUGAAAUCCCCGGGCUCAACCUGGGAACUGCAGUUGUGACUGCAAGGCUAGAGUACGGCAGAGGGGGAUGGAAUUCCGCGUGUAGCAGUGAAAUGCGUAGAUAUGCGGAGGAACACCAAUGGCGAAGGCAAUCCCCUGGGCCUGUACUGACGCUCAUACACGAAAGCGUGGGGAGCAAACAGGAUUAGAUACCCUAGUAGUCC